Mandrillus leucophaeus (drill) is the source of this 705-nucleotide long non-coding RNA. RefSeq lists it as uncharacterized. The record is from RefSeq and is a predicted model, not a curated record. The transcript is spliced from 3 exons. Lineage: Eukaryota; Metazoa; Chordata; Mammalia; Primates; Cercopithecidae.
UCACUAAAAGUGAUGAAGGUACGUGAGCAGCGAGCAGGGGCGUUGACGGGUCCCGUCCCAGCAUGAGGAGUCAAUGCAGAUGCUGAGGGAGCAGGAUCAAGUCUGAAGACAAAAGACAAAAAAACACAAAGAGCUGAGGAGAGAAGAUAACAGAUAUAGAAAGAAGGAAAUCAGGCUGGGUGCAGUGGCUCAUGCCUGUAAUCCCAGCACUUUGGGAGGCCAAGGCAGGCAGAUGACGAGGUCAGGAGUUCGAGACCAGCCUGGCCAACACGGUGAAACCCCGUCUCUACUAAAAAUACAAAAAUUAGCCGGGCGUGGUGCCGGGCGCCUAUAAUCCCAGCUACUCAGGAGGUUGAGGCAGGAGAAUUGCUUGAAGCCAGGAGGCAGAGGAUGCAGUGAGCCGAGAUCGUGCCAUUACGCUCCAGCCUGGGUGACAGAGGGAGACUCCAUCUCAAAAAAAAAAAAGAAAAAAGAAAAGAAAGAAGGAAACCAGAUGUGAGGAAAGAGAAAAAGGAGGCAGGGUGUUGGGAACAUUCUGAGGAAGGUACUAAGUGAUUGAUGGGAAAAAAAGCUAGGCUAGAAGGAAAAACAGGAAAGAGAAGAGAGAAGCUAAAAGAAAAAGGAAUAAGAAAGAAAUAAGCUGUGCCGGGCGUGGUGGCUCACGCCUGUAAUCCCUGCACUUUGGGAGGCUGAGGCGGGCGGAUC